Molecule: ribosomal RNA, 194 nt
Filed under: uncultured bacterium
Lineage: Bacteria
Description: partial 16S ribosomal RNA
Rfam family: Bacterial small subunit ribosomal RNA
Source: RNAcentral
CCUACGGGAGGCAGCAGUGGGGAAUAUUGCACAAUGGGGGAAACCCUGAUGCAGCCAUGCCGCGUGUGUGAAGAAGGCCUUCGGGUUGUAAAGCACUUUCAGCGAGGAGGAAAGGGUGUAAGUUAAUACCUUACAUCCGUGACGUUACUCGCAGAAGAAGCACCGGCUAACUCCGUGCCAGCAGCCGCGGUAAU